This 948-nucleotide long non-coding RNA is filed under the name Elaeis guineensis (African oil palm). RNAcentral's name for it is "long non-coding RNA (EGUI_LNC070554)". Lineage: Eukaryota; Viridiplantae; Streptophyta; Magnoliopsida; Arecales; Arecaceae. The record is from RNAcentral.
CUCCCAUGCCCAUUAUCUCUUAUUUUAUGUGACAAAACCUUCUCUCCCAGGCCUUUGCACACAUCCAAAGCUUUCCACACUUUCUCUCUUAUAUGGAAUGUGGUUGUGGACCAAGUCAAAGUAGGAAUUAGUUUGGAUUUCAAAUUCUAUGAGAUAGAAUUUUAGGAAACCAAAACUCUUUCCUUAUGGCACUGAUUUUACCCAAAUUUUUUCUAAUAUUUUCAUAACUUUUAUGGCACAUAUUGUGUGCCCUUUUAUGGUGGUCCAUGGUAGAAAAAGAAGGAGGGGGUGCCCAAGAGUUGGGCACCACUUGUCUUGCCCUAUUUAGAUUUUUCUUGACUAGGUAUUUGACCUAGACAAGGAUUCUUCAUAUCUUUUGAUUUAAGAUGAAUUUCUUCUUAAUAUUUUUGUGGAUUAUAGAGCAUUGAGAGACCUUUGGGACAUGUAAAAAUCAGGGAGAAAGAGUAUUAUGGCAUGGAGAUAUAAUAGCCACAAAACUAAGUAUCUAGGUGAGAGCAAAGAGAAGAAGAAGAGGGUCUUCUUCUAGGGUUGCUGAGUUCACCUCUUCCAUUCCUCCAUCUAUGAGUUUCUGAGAGUGUCUCAUAUCUAAAACUUCUUCUCCUACUUCUCAUCUUUGGAAGAGUCCAAAUCAAGAAGAAGGAGACAUCUGAUCGACCAUCGAAAAAGGAUCAGCAUAAUACUAGCAUACGAUGCUGAUUUUCUGGAUCAGGACUUCUGAUCGUGAUUCAUGGGCUCGUGUAGAUGACUCCUAGAGGUCGGAUGCAUGUGCAGCUCACAACAUCAUCCUCAAGUCUGGAUCAGCAAAGUUAAAAUGUCUAACUUGUAAGGUAAUAGAUUUGAUUUAUUAUAUUUUACAUACAUUAGAUGUAGUAUAGAAACAUGUUGAUAUGAUUAACAUGUAGUUCUUGCUCUUUAUAUUUUAAUUUU